AAUCAACGCUGGCGGCGUGCCUAACACAUGCAAGUCGAACGCGAAAGCCCCGCAAGGGGCAAGUAGAGUGGCAAACGGGUGAGUAACGCGUGGGUGACCUGCCCUCGAGCGGGGGAGUAACGUUCCGAAGGGACGCUAAUACCGCAUAACAUCCUGCCCUUGAACGGGUGGAGAUCAAAGCUGGGGAUUCGCAAGAACCCGGCACUUGAAGAGGGGCCCGCGUCUGAUUAGCUAGUUGGUGAGGAACGGCUCACCAAGGCAACGAUCAGUAUCCGGCCUGAGAGGGCGGACGGACACACUGGGACUGAGACACGGCCAGACUCCUACGGGAGGCAGCAGUGGGGAAUUGUUCGCAAUGGGCGCAAGCCUGACGACGCAACGCCGCGUGGAGGAU
Molecule: ribosomal RNA, 394 nt
Filed under: uncultured bacterium
Lineage: Bacteria
Description: bacterial SSU rRNA
Rfam family: Bacterial small subunit ribosomal RNA
Source: RNAcentral